GCCAGCAGCCAUAUCACCCUGCCACUCAAAACUGGUAACCCACGGAAGCUAAGCAGGUGUGAGCCUGGUCAGUACCUGGAUGGGAGACCUCCUCGUAAAAACUAAGGUUGCUGCUGGAA
Molecule: ribosomal RNA, 119 nt
Filed under: Lepisosteus oculatus (spotted gar)
Lineage: Eukaryota; Metazoa; Chordata; Actinopteri; Semionotiformes; Lepisosteidae
Source: RNAcentral